GGGUUGUGAGGUUAAGCGACUAAGCGUACACGGUGGAUGCCCUGGCAGUCAGAGGCGAUGAAGGACGUGCUAAUCUGCGAAAAGCGUCGGUAAGGUGAUAUGAACCGUUACAGCCGGCGAUGUCCGAAUGGGGAAACCCAGUGCAAUUCGUUGCACUAUCGUUAACUGAAUACAUAGGUUAACGAGGCGAACCGGGGGAACUGAAACAU
Molecule: ribosomal RNA, 209 nt
Filed under: Klebsiella pneumoniae
Lineage: Bacteria; Pseudomonadati; Pseudomonadota; Gammaproteobacteria; Enterobacterales; Enterobacteriaceae
Description: partial 23S ribosomal RNA
Rfam family: Bacterial large subunit ribosomal RNA
Source: RNAcentral